CUUAUUAAGUAUACUCGAUUUUGGAUUAGAGAGUGUGACGUGUCGACACAUGAUUGGAUAAAGAGUUUUAUUGAGCAAUUAUUAUUUUUUGGCAUUGUGUUCUUUCUCUUCCUCUCUCUCUCGCAAAUCUCUCAAUCGGAGGAGAUUUAAUCAGUUGAAAUCGUUGGAGAUAGAAUCGGAGAAGACUGGAAUCCAAGGAGAUUGAACUGGAAUCGGGUCUUGUUCCCGGAUUGAAUCCUGGUCAGUAUGAGGAACACAUGAACCGUGGAGCUGGGAUCUAUGUUGUUCCUGUACAAAAAUGAACCUAUUUGUUGGGUUUGAUUAGAACAAUUUUCUGUGUAGCUUUCUUAUUGUCUCAAAAAAUUGUGCAAGCUUCAUUGUUUUGCUAAUGAUUGUUGUUCUGAUUUAGCUGCUCAGUUGGAAAUCGUUGGCUUGUUACAAAAGUUUUGAUAUGUUUUUGUUCAUUCUUUGUUAGGGUGUACUGGUUUUAUUUUGUUGCAGGCUUGGCUUGAUAUAUUGGUAAGUCUUGUUUUGCUUAGCUCUGUUGCAGACAAGGCUUAACAAAUUGGUAGAGACUUUCACACCUCUUGCUCCUUGUUCUGCUUAGUUGAAGCUCUCCUGCAGCCUACACAGGCUCUGAUGCAGUUCUAGCUGCUGUUUGGCUUGUCUCGUUUUGCAUAUUAGUUAUGUUUAAAAGUAAUCUAUUAUUAUUCACGGAGACAUGAGAUUUCGGAUAAGUAGUAGUUCUACUUUGGUUCAGGAUAUAAUUAUCUCUGCAUCAGUGCAUCUCAUUCUCUGUGUUUUUUUUUUUAUUAUUAUUAUUGUGUUGCUUUCAAACUUAGCGAUUUGUAGACCUCUGAAAACAUAUGAUAUCUCUGAUGGCGAGUUAUAACAAGCUCUACUAAAUCAUUCAUUCUAAUGUUGUGUUGUUAUCUGCAGAUAUUCCAUCGCUGAAGGUAAGGCCUUUAGAGCUACCAGAAUCUCAUGUGUGUGUGUUGUUGUUCUUUGAAAUCUAAAUGGACUUGGUGAAUUUUUAUCCAAUGCAGGCUAAAAAAUAGGUGAUCAAUCAACCCCUAGAAGAUGCAUUGUUGGAGUUAUCCAAACUGAAGAAAUCAGAAUGAUGAGCAGACGGCUGCAGUGAAUUGUUCAUUGCUAGGAGUAGUUUCCAACUAAACUCAAAUCAAGAGACUCAAAAUUAUAACCCACCAUUGGAGGGGAAAAUUUUAAUUAGGAAUCCUAAAGUUCUUAUUCUACUAAAAGUACAUAAUAUAGUAAUUAAAAAUUAUAAGAGCUCCAAAAAUAUAACCCCCAUUGUGGAUGCCCUAAGGAUUGAAAAUGGGGAAAAUUCCCUUAAAAAAAAAUCAACUAUUUUUUAUUUGGAAAAAAACUAUACGAACAUUUGACAUUUCUAACAAAAUAUAACAAUUAAAUUUUCCAUC
Molecule: non-coding RNA, 1439 nt
Organism: Camelina sativa (false flax)
Lineage: Eukaryota; Viridiplantae; Streptophyta; Magnoliopsida; Brassicales; Brassicaceae
Source: RefSeq, a predicted model, not a curated record